This 1399-nucleotide ribosomal RNA is filed under the name uncultured bacterium. RNAcentral describes it as "16S ribosomal RNA". It matches the Rfam family "Bacterial small subunit ribosomal RNA". The record is from RNAcentral.
UUAGAGUUUGAUCCUGGCUCAGGAUGAACGCUAGCUACAGGCUUAACACAUGCAAGUCGAGGGGCAGCAUGAACUUAGCUUGCUAAGUUUGAUGGCGACCGGCGCACGGGUGAGUAACACGUAUCCAACCUGCCGAUGACUCGGGGAUAGCCUUUCGAAAGAAAGAUUAAUACCCGAUGGCAUAGUUCUUCCGCAUGGUAGGACUAUUAAAGAAUUUCGGUCAUCGAUGGGGAUGCGUUCCAUUAGCUUGUUGGCGGGGUAACGGCCCACCAAGGCAUCGAUGGAUAGGGGUUCUGAGAGGAAGGUCCCCCACAUUGGAACUGAGACACGGUCCAAACUCCUACGGGAGGCAGCAGUGAGGAAUAUUGGUCAAUGGGCGCUAGCCUGAACCAGCCAAGUAGCGUGAAGGAUGACUGCCCUAUGGGUUGUAAACUUCUUUUAUAUGGGAAUAAAGUGCAGUAUGUAUACUGCUUUGCAUGUACCUUAUGAAUAAGGAUCGGCUAACUCCGUGCCAGCAGCCGCGGUAAUACGGAGGAUCCGAGCGUUAUCCGGAUUUAUUGGGUUUAAAGGGAGCGUAGGCGGGUUGUUAAGUCAGUUGUGAAAGUUUGCGGCUCAACCGUAAAAUUGCAGUUGAUACUGGCAUCCUUGAGUACAGUAGAGGUAGGCGGAAUUCGUGGUGUAGCGGUGAAAUGCUUAGAUAUCACGAAGAACUCCGAUUGCGAAGGCAGCCUGCUGGACUGUAACUGACGCUGAUGCUCGAAAGUGUGGGUAUCAAACAGGAUUAGAUACCCUGGUAGUCCACACAGUAAACGAUGAAUACUCGCUGUUUGCGAUAUACAGUAAGCGGCCAAGCGAAAGCGUUAAGUAUUCCACCUGGGGAGUACGCCGGCAACGGUGAAACUCAAAGGAAUUGACAGGGGCCCGCACAAGCGGAGGAACAUGUGGUUUAAUUCGAUGAUACGCGAGGAACCUUACCCGGGCUCAAACGGGGAGUGGCGCAGGCAGAGACGCCUGUUUCCCACGGGACACUCCCCGAGGUGCUGCAUGGUUGUCGUCAGCUCGUGCCGUGAGGUGUCGGCUUAAGUGCCAUAACGAGCGCAACCCCCGCGUGCAGUUGCUAACAGUCAACGCUGAGGACUCUGCACGGACUGCCGGCGCAAGCCGCGAGGAAGGCGGGGAUGACGUCAAAUCAGCACGGCCCUUACGUCCGGGGCGACACACGUGUUACAAUGGGUGGUACAGCGGGAAGCCAGGCGGCGACGCCGAGCGGAACCCGAAAUCCACUCUCAGUUCGGAUCGGAGUCUGCAACCCGACUCCGUGAAGCUGGAUUCGCUAGUAAUCGCGCAUCAGCCAUGGCGCGGUGAAUACGUUCCCGGGCCUUGCACUCACCGCCCGUCA